CCUGGGACACCAGGUGGGUUAUUCCCCUCUAAUCAGGGACUGAUUUAGACCUGGGACACCAGGUGGGUGAUUCCCCUCUAAUCAGGGCCUGGUUUAGACCUGGGACACCAGGUGGGUUAUUCCCCUCUAAUCAGGGACUGAUUUAGACCUGGGACACCAGGUGGGUGAUUCCCCUCUAAUCAGGGCCUGGUUUAGACCUGGGACACCAGGUGGGUUAUUCCCCUCUAAUCAGGGCCUGGUUUAGACCUGGGACACCAGGUGGGUUAUUCCCCUCUAAUCAGGGCCUGGUUUAGACCUGGGACACCAGGUGGGUUAUUCCCCUCUAAUCAGGGCCUGGUUUAGACCUGGGACACCAGGUGGGUUAUUCCCCUCUAAUCAGGGCCUGAUUUAGACCUGGGACACCAGGUGGGUUAUUCCCCUCUAAUCAGGGCCUGAUUUAGACCUGGGACACCAGGUGGGUUAUUCCCCUCUAAUCAGGGCCUGAUUUAGACCUGGGACACCAGGUGGGUUAUUCCCCUCUAAUCAGGGCCUGAUUUAGACCUGGGACACCAGGUGGGUUAUUCCCCUCUAAUCAGGGCCUGAUUUAGACCUGGGACACCAGGUGGGUUAUUCCCCUCUAAUCAGGGACUGAUUUAGACCUGGGACACCAGGUGGGUUAUUCCCCUCUAAUCAGGGCCUGGUUUAGACCUGGGACACCAGGUGGGUUAUUCCCCUCUAAUCAGGGCCUGGUUUAGACCUGGGA
Long non-coding RNA from Oncorhynchus keta (chum salmon), 742 nucleotides. RefSeq lists it as uncharacterized. The record is from RefSeq and is a predicted model, not a curated record. The transcript is spliced from 3 exons. Lineage: Eukaryota; Metazoa; Chordata; Actinopteri; Salmoniformes; Salmonidae.